This 253-nucleotide ribosomal RNA is filed under the name uncultured bacterium. RNAcentral's name for it is "partial 16S ribosomal RNA". It matches the Rfam family "Bacterial small subunit ribosomal RNA", at positions 524 to 776 of the family's 1533-position model. The record is from RNAcentral.
UACAGAGGUCUCGAGCGUUAGGCGGAAUCACUGGGCUUAAAGCGUGUGUAGGUGGAUCGUUAAGUACCUUGUGAAAUCCCACGGCUCAACCGUGGAACUGCUUGGUAUACUGGCGGUCUUGAGCCAGCUAGGGGCUACCGGAACAAAUGGUGGAGCGGUGAAAUGCGUAGAUAUCAUUUGGAACGCCAAUGGUGAAAACAGGUAGCUGGGGCUGUGCUGACACUGAGACACGAAAGCCAGGGGAGCAAACGGG